GCCGACGUGGUGGAAUUGGUAGACACGCCGUCUUGAGGGGGCGGUGGCGAAAGUUAUGCGAGUUCGAGUCUCGCCGUCGGCACCA
Molecule: transfer RNA, 85 nt
Filed under: Pseudomonadota bacterium
Lineage: Bacteria; Pseudomonadati; Pseudomonadota
Description: tRNA-Leu
Rfam family: tRNA
About the family: Transfer RNA (tRNA) molecules are approximately 80 nucleotides in length. Their secondary structure includes four short double-helical elements and three loops (D, anti-codon, and T loops).
Source: RNAcentral